GUCGACGACUGCCUGAAAUCUGUACCAUCAGAGCAACAAGCUAUUAAACUCGCUACAGACCUGCAAUCAAUGAUGAAAAUGGGUGGUUUCCGACUUACAAAAUGGCUCAGUAACAGAAGAAAUGUUUUGAAUGCAAUACCAGAAUCAGAACGCGCUUCAUCUGUAGUCAGUCUUGGACCUAGUGAUAUGUUGCCAAGUGACAAAGCCUUAGGCGUUAUUUGGGAUGUGAAUGAAGACAAAAUCAAAUUUAAAGUAAAACUAUCAGACAAACCUCUGACAAGGCGUGGUAUACUAUCAAUCGUUAGCUCCAUAUUUGACCCUCUUGGACUGGUUUCUCCAGUUACACUUAGAGCAAAAGCUAUUGUACAGCACCUAUGCAAAGAGAAGUUUGGGUGGGAUGAACAGAUUCCACAAGAGUGCCAUGAUAAAUGGAAAAGUUGGGUGAAGAACUUACCAUGUUUAGAAAAUUUGUCAGUAAACCGUUGUUUCCUACCACGAGAUGUUCAACAUGUUAAAAAUGUACAAUUGCACAUAUUUAGUGACGGUUCAGAACUUGGAUAUGGCGCGUGUGCAUACCUCAGGGUCGUUGAUGAAAAUGACAGAACUACUUGCUCUCUUGUGAUGGGGAAAGCUCGCUUAGCACCAAUUAAACAGGUUUCAAUACCAAGACUGGAAUUAUCAGGAGCUGUUACUGCUUGUCGUUUGUAUGACAUUUUGUCAGAUGAACUUGAAUUAAAUAUAAAUACGGUUACUUUCUGGACAGAUUCAACGAUUGUUUUAGGGUACAUUAGAAAUACGUCACGACGAUUUAAAACAUUCGUAGCAAAUAGAUUGAGCGUUAUACAAAAUACAACAUCUCUAGAUCAGUGGCGUCACGUUGACUCCAAACAAAACCCUGCUGAUAUAGCGUCAAGAGGCAUUGACGCCUGCGAUAGAAAAAAUCUUGAUAUUUGGUUGAACGGUCCAAAGUUUCUUCAUAAAAACUCUGAGCACUGGCCAAGGAACGUACUGGACGAAGAACUAGGGAUAUCUGAGACUGAUACUGAAAUCAAGAAGGAGAUAGCUGUACAUGCUACAACCAAUAAUGCCAUAGACAAUUUGUUAGGAUACUUCUCCGACUGGAUAAAACUCAGACGAGCUAUUGCAUGGUUUAGGAGAUUUAAGAUUUAUUGCAGAAAUCGUUACCUUGGACAUCAUUUGCCGUGUAACAGUGGUAAUCUUAAUGUAACAGAACUUCGGGAGGCUACCGAUGAAAUAUUAGCACAUGUCCAAAUGAGUUAUUUUUCAGAUGAAAUAACAAACUUGAAGAAAGAAACGCCCGUGAAAAAAGGAAGCCGUAUUGCUUCUCUAAAUCCUGUUUUGGUUAAUGAACUUAUCCGAUCAAAAGGGCGCCUAAAUUAUGACUUAAUCACUUGUCCCGUAAUACUGCCAAACGAACAUCACGUGACUACGCUUAUCAUCCGUUAUUAUCACGAAACCACGGGACACGUGGGAAAACAACAGGUGCUUGCAGCUUCUCGUGAAAAAUAUUGGAUAUUGAAAGGAUCCAGUGCUGUGAAGACAGUUAUCGAUCGUUGCGUACCAUGCAAACGACAACAUGGCCCGUUUUGUAAACAGCAGAUGGCACCCCUACUCGAGGAACAGAUGACUGCAGACAAACCUCCUUUUACCUUUGUCGGAGUUGACUACUUUGGUCCAUUAAACGUUAAACUUGGACGGUCAGUUGUUAAGAGAUAUGGAUGCCUCUUUACGUGCCUUACAACAAGAGCGGUUCAUAUAGAAAUAGCCCACAGUUUAAAUACGGAUUCUUUUAUUUCAGCCUUUCAACGCUUUACAAGUAGACGAGGCAUUCCCGAAAAGGUCUACAGUGAUAAUGGAACAAAUUUCGUUGGCGGUGAAAUCGAACUUCGAAAAAACAUUGAACAAUGGAAUAAAGCAACUAUAUCAAAUUAUAUGCUACACAAGGACAUUAUUUGGACAUUUAAUCCACCAUAUGCAAGUCACCGCGGUGGUGCAUGGGAACGAAUGAUUCGUUCAACAAGGAACAUUUUUAAAGCACUGAUCAAUCAACAACUACUUAGCGAUGAACAAUUACUGACAUUUAUGGCCGAAACUGAGCGUAUUAUGAAUGAUAGACCGAUAACAGCAAUAAGUGACGAUUGUCGUGAUUUACCAGUUUUAACGCCAAAUAUGCUAUUAUUGAUGAAGAGCAACACGUCAACACCACAAGGUGUGUUUGACAAAAAGGAUAUAUAUGCAAAACGUUGGUGGAAACAAAUACAACACCUAGCGAAUGAAUUCUGGAAACGUUGGUUGAGGGAAUACUUACCAACCCUACAGCAAAGAAGAAAAUGGCAGAGGGAAGAACGAGAUGUUGAAAUAGACGAUAUUGUUUUAGUUGCUGAUGAACGUAUACAGAGAGGACAAUGGCCUUUAGGUAGAAUAGCCGAGGUCACAAGGAGCCGUGAUGGUCACGUCCGUAGCUGCGUGGUCAAAACUAGUCAGUCACAUAUUUUGAGACCUAUAAAUAAACUAUGCUUACUCGAGUGUUCUAAAUAG
This 2559-nucleotide small RNA is filed under the name Mytilus galloprovincialis (Mediterranean mussel). Lineage: Eukaryota; Metazoa; Mollusca; Bivalvia; Mytilida; Mytilidae. The record is from RNAcentral.